This 237-nucleotide ribosomal RNA is filed under the name uncultured bacterium. RNAcentral's name for it is "partial 16S ribosomal RNA". It matches the Rfam family "Bacterial small subunit ribosomal RNA", at positions 96 to 334 of the family's 1533-position model. The record is from RNAcentral.
CGGCGGACGGGUGAGUAACGCGUGGGUAACCUACCCUGUACACACGGAUAACAUACCGAAAGGUAUGCUAAUACGGGAUAAUAUAUUUGAGAGGCAUCUCUUGAAUAUCAAAGGUGAGCCAGUACAGGAUGGACCCGCGUCUGAUUAGCUAGUUGGUAAGGUAACGGCUUACCAAGGCGCGAUCAGUAGCCGACCUGAGAGGGUGAUCGGCCACAUUGGAACUGAGACACGGUCCAA